UAAAUGGCUGUAGUCUCCACAUUACCUCUCUUCUCUUCCUCUUGAUUCCUGGACACUAAAGCAAACACCAGUCCUGUACAAGUUCAGUCCAGAACAGCUAGACCAAAGCCUACAAGUCUGCAGCCACAUCUAUUCUAUGUUUCUACACCUUGAUUGGAGUCACCUGUGGUAAAUUCAUCUGAUUGGACAGGAUUUGGAAAGUCACACCCCUGUCUACAUAAGGUCUCCCAGCUGACAAUGUAUAUCAGAGAAAAAUCCAAGCCAUGAGAUGGAAAGAACUGCCUGUAGAGGUCAGAGGCAAUGAAAGUUUCCAAAAGCAUAGUGGUCUCCAUAAUUCUUAAAGGCAGUUUAAGGGUACGGUCACACAUUACGGAUCCGUAGCGUAUUUUACAUGGGGAUCCACCGAUGACCCGACCCUAUAGUGUGCCUCCAGCCUAACACCCAUGACACCCCCCACCCCGUCCGUACUCAGACAUUG
Molecule: long non-coding RNA, 478 nt
Organism: Hyla sarda
Lineage: Eukaryota; Metazoa; Chordata; Amphibia; Anura; Hylidae
Exons: 3
Source: RefSeq, a predicted model, not a curated record